RNAcentral lists this ribosomal RNA (1872 nucleotides) under Parabacteroides distasonis. RNAcentral describes it as "partial 23S ribosomal RNA". It matches the Rfam family "Bacterial large subunit ribosomal RNA", at positions 1 to 1894 of the family's 2925-position model. Lineage: Bacteria; Pseudomonadati; Bacteroidota; Bacteroidia; Bacteroidales; Tannerellaceae. The record is from RNAcentral.
GAGAAAGUAAGCAAGGGCAGACGGUGGAUGCCUUGGCUCUCGGAGGCGACGAAGGACGUGAUAAGCUGCGAAAAGCCCGGGGGAGGCGCAAAUAGCCCUUGAUCCCGGGAUAUCCGAAUGGGGCAACCCGGCAGGCUGAAGGCCUGCCAUCCCGUAAGGGAGGCGAACGUGGGGAACUGAAACAUCUAAGUACCCAUAGGAGGAGAAAAUAAACAAUGAUUCCGUAAGUAGUGGCGAGCGAACACGGAAGAGCCCAAACCCAUGUCGUCUAGGCGACACGGGGGUUGUAGGACCACGACGUGGCAAGAAGGAAGGGAAAUGGAACGCCUUGGAAAAGUCGGCCAUAGACGGUGAAAGCCCGGUACAUGACUCCCUUACGAAGCCUAGUGGUAUCCUGAGUAGCGCGGGGCACGAGAAAUCUUGCGUGAAGCAGCGGGGCCCAUCCCGUAAGGCUAAAUACUCCCGAGAGACCGAUAGCGAACCAGUACCGUGAGGGAAAGGUGAAAAGAACCCCGAGCAGGGGAGUGAAAUAGACCCUGAACCCGUCUGCCUACAAGCGGUCGGAGCGUCGUAAUGACGUGACGGCGUGCCUUUUGCAUAAUGAACCUACGAGUUACCUUCCCCGGCAAGGUUAAGUUCUUGAGGAACGGAGCCGAAGCGAAAGCGAGUCUGAACAGGGCGCCAAGUCGGGGGGGGUAGACGCGAAACCGAGUGAUCUACCCUUGGCCAGGUUGAAGGUUGGGUAACACCAACUGGAGGACCGGAUGGGUAAGCGUUGAAAAGCUUUCCAAUGAGCUGAGGGUAGGGGUGAAAGGCUAAUCAAACUCGGAGAUAGCUCGUACUCCCCGAAAUGCAUUUAGGUGCAGCCUCUUUAUAGUAUAUCGUGAGGUAGAGCGACUGAUUGGAUGCGAGGGCUUCACCGCCUAUCAAGUCCAGAUAAACUCCGAAUGCGCGAUAUAUAUUUACAGGGAGUGAGGGCGCGGGUGCUAAGGUCCGUGUCCGAGAGGAGAAGAAUCCAGACCACCGGCUAAGGCCCCCAAAUGAUCGUUAAGUUGAACUAACGAGGUCGGAUCGCAGAGACAGCUAGGAUGUUGGCUUGGAAGCAGCCAUUCAUUUAAAGAGUGCGUAACAGCUCACUAGUCGAGCGAUCUGGCGUGGAUAAUAAUCGGGCAUAAACGAUCUGCCGAAGCCGUGGAUGUCGCAAGACAUGGUAGGGGAGCAUUCCAUGCCGCGUCGAAGAUGAGGGAUGACCCUUGUUGGAGCGCAUGGAAAAGCAAAUGUAGGUAUGAGUAACGAUAAGGGGGGCGAGAAACCCCCCCGCCGAAAGACCAAGGUUUCCUGAUCAACGCUAAUCGGAUCAGGGUGAGUCGGGACCUAAGGCAAAGCCGAACGGCGCCGCCGAUGGAAGAAUGGGUUAAUAUUCCCAUACUGCCUCAUGGAGUGACGUGGAGACGGAGAAGUGACAGUCCUGCCGGCUGACGGAAUAGCCGGUUGAAGGGUGUAGAUAUUGAUUCCCGUAGGCAAAUCCGCGGGGAGAGUCGAACCUGAGAGUAUACGGAGCGCUUGCGCAACGUAAUAUGGACGUAACCAUGCUCCCGAGAAAAUCCGCUAAACUUAUCCAUGCGGCACCCGUACCGUAAACGGACACACGUGGUCGGGUUGAGAAUACUGAGGCGCUCGAGUGAUUCACGGUUAAGGAACUAGGCAAAUUGACCCUGUAACUUCGGGAUAAAGGGUCCUCGUCGUAAGGCGAGGCGCAGAGAAUAGGUCCAGGCAACUGUUUAACAAAAACACAUGGCUGUGCUAAAUGGAAACAUGAUGUAUACAGCCUGACACCUGCCCGGUGCCGGAAGGUUAAGAGGAGAUGUCAUC